This 514-nucleotide non-coding RNA is filed under the name Pan troglodytes (chimpanzee). The record is from RNAcentral. Lineage: Eukaryota; Metazoa; Chordata; Mammalia; Primates; Hominidae.
CGGGUGUUUCCUUGUUCGGAAUCGGGUUGGCUCCUCUUUGAUUUUUUACUUCUGGUGUCCCACGCAAAAGCAGUCCCGACCUGGUUCUAUUAAUAAUAAAGGCUGUAAGGAUCAGCCUUUUGAACGGUCCAGCCGAGAACUAACCACAGAGCGCGUUUUAGUAGAGUGGUACUUAUUUUUAAAUAAGAUACUGAGUUUACUACAAAUGGAAGGUUUGAGGCAACCUUGAUGGAGCAAGUGUAUGGGUGCCAUUUUUUUCCAACAUCAUGUGCUCACUUUGUGUCUCUCUGACACAUUUUGAACGCAAGACUAUAUUUACUAGCAGCUCUGUGUCCUUGCUCAUUGGAAAAUGAUCUUUCCUCAAGACUUACUGACACGUUUCUGUUUAAGGCAUGACAAUCGUAAAGGCCAACAAUUGUGGACGGGGGCAACUCUUCCUUUCAUUAUGUACUGGUGUAGUCAAUUAUGCAAAGUCUGGUCAACCAAAGACCACCAGGCUCAAGCCAUUAGUUUU